GCCUUCGACUCCUGCUGGGGCCACGGGCAGGCCCCCCACCAUCCUCCCAGGGCACGGGAGCCCAUAGCUGUGUGUGUGGAUGCCCCAGAGAAAGGGGGUCUGCAGCAAAAGAGCUCCUAAUUCCAGGCAGAAUGGAGAGCCUCUGUGAGGCUUAUUCUAAGAGCCUGUCCUGGGGAACCAGGGAUGCCUGGAGCCAGCUGCCACCAGGAAAGGACGCGGGGCGGGGCCCUGAGCCCAACGGGGCCCUGGUCAUAGGGACACAGCCCCACAUUCAGCCACCAGCAGGAGAGGAGUCACCCCAGGGACAGGCCUGCCUGGAAUGUGAGGUGCUGCCCCUUUGACCCCAACAACCAGCUUCUCCUGCAGUUGGGAUGAGGGGAAAGACGCAUGUGCCUCAGACCACAGAGCCAGCAGAACCCCAAAUCCAGCCUUUGGCCCCAGGGCCCUCGACCACACCUGGUAGCCUAGACUGAUGACACAGCUCUGCAGGCGGGUCCCCCUGCCGGUGGCACCGAGGCUGCCAUCCAGCUCUGGCCAGGAGUCCCGCCCUGCCCCGGCUUGCCUGCUCCACUGGGGACGUCGCCUGAGAGGCUCCCCGUCCUGGAGCAGAACCCCCUGCAGCCUCCACUGAAGGACCCCGCGGUCACUGCGGCCCCCGGGCCUCCGCUGAAGGACCCUGCCUCGGCCAGGCCCUGGGGCGCCUACAUCGGCUGAGGUGUUGGGGGGCAUUCUCCCCAGCGUCCACCCGACUUCCUCAAGGACAGCGGGAGAGGGUCAUCCUGAGCCGUGGCGGCCGGAGCCAAGUGCCCGCGUCUCUCUGGAGGUCAGCUGGUGGCCCCGGUUUCCCACGAGCAGGAAAGCGGGGGGUCCAGAGCCGCGGCCCUCUGCAGGAAGCAGCUGUUUCAUAAACACAACGAACAGCCGACUGCCACACACCAGAGUCGAUAAAAGCAAAAUCGUGAAA
This is a long non-coding RNA of Callorhinus ursinus (northern fur seal), 964 nucleotides long. RefSeq lists it as uncharacterized. Lineage: Eukaryota; Metazoa; Chordata; Mammalia; Carnivora; Otariidae. The record is from RefSeq and is a predicted model, not a curated record.